AUGAGAAAGGAGACAGAGCAGGGAAAUAAAGACGGAGAGCUCCAAGCUUUCCAUCAAAUCAGAUCACUCAGCUGGGCAGAACAAUUCCAAGCAGCCCAACGAGCGAGUUCUUCACAGUGGUUGUUUCACCAAAGACCGAGACCAGAGCUUGCUUCAAACAACUCCAAAAGGUUUUCAGCUUCCAUGCUGACUGCAGCAAGCAGCAGAGACCAGGAGGAUCUGGAGGAGGGAAGAGGAAGGAAGCCAUCAUCCCCUUGCAUCUCACACUCACAGACAUCAAGCUGUGAGAAAAGAACCGGAGCAAAAAUGCACCAAAAUGUCCCCAGGGGACCCUCAGCACUCUCCAGCUUCCCAGCUUUUGGAGGUCUGGCAAGAUCUUCAGCCAGAACUGUCCCAGAAUUUUUAUGAGACCUUGUCCAAGCCCUGUAAAAUGGCACCAGGGGAGAAUGGUGUUUCCACAAGGAGGUUUGGCUGACCAUGGAAAGGAAGGCAAAGGAGGUAGACUGGGCUGCAAUCUGCGAGGUCCUGGCUGUCUGUCUCAAGGACCACAGACUCAUCCAGCUUUCCCAAUGUCCCCAAGAGUUUCUGAAAGCUUGUUCAUGGAUUUAGGCCACAAACGUGUCUGUGACUACAGAGGUGGAUACAAGACACCCCCACGUUCACCUCUGGGUGCAGGAAGGGAACUUUGCACUUGAGUUGGUUCAUAACUGGGAAAACACAAGUUUAUCCUCUUAAGUUCCCACUUUAGGAUUUCAGCCCUCUCCAUGGAUCAGCUGCCUUCUCAAGCAGACACAAACCCCCAGACCCUGCUGAAAUGCCUGCAGAGCAAGCAGAGAGCGACUGCUGCCCUCAUUAGGAAGGACAAAGCCUUCUCAGCAGUGGAUUAAAAAAAGCAGCUCACACUGGGGUUUGCAGGGUAGGACACGGGCUCAUUCCAAUGCUAACCAGAUUAUUGAGCUCGCUGAAGGCUAUCUCUGAAGGGAUAGUUGGAAUUAGUUGAUAGUGAUUUAAUUUGUGUUGCAGAUUGCUAAUUAAGCCUGUGAAGAGGACAAAAAAAAUUAAUCCAUUUAG
This 1071-nucleotide long non-coding RNA is filed under the name Cyanistes caeruleus (blue tit). RNAcentral describes it as "lncRNA (ENSCCEG00000020428.1)". Lineage: Eukaryota; Metazoa; Chordata; Aves; Passeriformes; Paridae. The record is from RNAcentral.